GACGAACGCUGGCGGCGUGCCUAAUACAUGCAAGUAGAACGCUGAAGGAGGAGCUUGCUCUUCUGGAUGAGUUGCGAACGGGUGAGUAACGCGUAGGUAACCUGCCUGGUAGCGGGGGAUAACUAUUGGAAACGAUAGCUAAUACCGCAUAACAGUAGAUGUUGCAUGACAUUUACUUAAAAGGUGCAAUUGCAUCACUACCAGAUGGACCUGCGUUGUAUUAGCUAGUUGGUGGGGUAACGGCUCACCAAGGCGACGAUACAUAGCCGACCUGAGAGGGUGAUCGGCCACACUGGGACUGAGACACGGCCCAGACUCCUACGGGAGGCAGCAGUAGGGAAUCUUCGGCAAUAGACGGAAGUCCGACCGAGCAACGCCGCGUGAGUGAAGAAGGUUUUCGGAUCGUAAAGCUCUGUUGUAAGAGAAGAACGAGUGUGAGAGUGGAAAGUUCACACUGUGACGGUAUCUUACCAGAAAGGGACGGCUAACUACGUG
Molecule: ribosomal RNA, 495 nt
Filed under: uncultured bacterium
Lineage: Bacteria
Description: partial 16S ribosomal RNA
Rfam family: Bacterial small subunit ribosomal RNA
Source: RNAcentral